Molecule: long non-coding RNA, 2199 nt
Organism: Cyprinus carpio carpio
Lineage: Eukaryota; Metazoa; Chordata; Actinopteri; Cypriniformes; Cyprinidae
Source: Ensembl
AUGGACAUCCUACCUUAUCGCUGUGAAAAGAUGGUAAUAAGGUCACAACAGGACAGAGAAGCACUGAACAUGCUGGAGGCACAAACUGUGCGAGUAAAAGUAGAUGGAGUUGAACGAUACGCCACUCCGCUUUUGAGAGUUAAAACUAUGCCCCUGUUACAUGCUCCAAAGGAUGCUGUGAUGUGCCACCUCCGUAGCACUGAACGUCGGUUAGCAAAGGACCUACCAUUAGCUAACAAGUACAAAGAAGAGAUCCAGAAAUUGGAGAGAGCUGGUUAUGCCACUAAGAUAUCAUCUGAAGAAGCAGCCCAAUCUACAGAAUCAUGGUAUCUACCCCACCAUCUUGUCACCCACAAUGGUAAACAUAGAGUGGUGUUUAACUGCUCAUACACCUACAAUGGUCAAAAUCUAAACAAGCUUCUGUUACCUGGACCGACGCUGGGCCCCUCUCUCCUUGGAGUGUUGAUCCGCUUCAGAGAACAUCAAGUAGCCAUCAGUGGAGACAUAAAGGGAAUGUUCCAUCAGGUCCGCCUGCUCCCCAGAGACAAACCCCUCCUAAGGUUCUUGUGGCGAGAUCUAAAGCCUGAAAACCCACCUGAUGUAUAUGAGUGGCAGGUUCUUCCAUUUGGCACAACCUGUAGCCCCUGUUGUGCGACAUUCGCAGUACAGCGACACGUUUUUACUCAUUGCCAGCCGGGUGAUAAGUUACGACAGUCAGUUGAACGCUGCUUUUAUGUCGACAACUGUUUACAGAGCACUGCAUCCUUAACUGAAGCCAAGGAGCUGAUUAAUGGGUUAAGGUCCCUACUGGCUUCAGGCGGGUUUGAAAUCCGUCAGUGGGCGAGCAACGAAGCCUCAGUGGUUAGCCAUCUUCCCAAAGAGGCUAGAUCAGAGAACACUGAGUUGUGGAUUUCCCUCAGCCAAUCAGAUCCUCAAGAGAUGACCCUGGGAUUAAACUGGCGGUGCGUUCUAGACACCCUCCAUUACCGUCAUCGUCCUCUAUCCUACCAUGAGGUAACAAUGAGAAACAUUUACCGUGUUCUCGCCAGCCAGUAUGACCCCUUGGGUUACAUGAUACCUUUCACAACCAGGGCUAAAACCUUAGUGCGACAACUGUGGGUGAAGGAAAGAGAAUGGGAUGACCCCCUUCUUCCUUCAGAACUGCUACGGGCCUGGCAAAAAUGGGAAGCAGAACUGGAACAUCUACCACUGAUCACCAUACCUCGGUGUUAUGUGUCAGCCAUGCUAGAUGUCCCAGAGGCAGAACGAGAACUUCACAUCUUCUGCGACGCCUCUGAGACAGCCUAUGGAUCAGUAGCAUACCUCCGUACUGAACACCAAGGCCAAGUGGAAGUGGCAUUCAUCCACGCCAGAUCAAGAGUAUCUCCAAAAAGGCAACAGUCAAUGCCUCGGCUUGAACUCUGUGCUGCCCUCACUGGAGCACAGUUAGCCAAGAUACUUCAUAAUGAGCUCUCAUUGGAAAUUAGGAACACAUUCUUGUGGAGUGACUCAACAACAGUACUCACCUGGCUGAAAUCGGAGUCCUGCAGAUUUAAAGUUUUUGUAGGAACCAGAGUAACCGAGAUACAAGAACUUACAGAAGGUCAUUGCUGGCGCUACGUAGAUUCAGUUAACAAUGUUGCAGAUGACAUCACACGUGGCAAAACCUUGCUUGAAUUAUCCCAACCCAAUCGAUGGUGUAAAGGGCCAGACUUCCUCUACCUACCACCCGCAUCAUGGCCAGAAACUCCUGCCAUUGGGCUGAAUGAUGACCCCACCGAGCUUCGUAACACAAAGUUUUGUGGCCUCACUUUGACUUAUACUGGAUUAUCACUGCCAGAUGCUACCCAGUUCUCAACCUUUGAGGAACUCCUGGAAGCUACUUGCAGAUCCAGUCAGGGGUUGGUGGGGGAAACGGGUGACCCAGGAGCACCGGAGUACCAGCAGUCUGAAUCAAGUCUUUUGAGGCAAGCCCAAUUAGACAGUUUCCCCACAGAAUAUCAAGCUUUAACAACUGGCAAGCCGAUCCCUUUGUCCAGUCGUCUGCUCACAUUGUCACCAGAGUUGGAUAAAACGACUGCACUCAUCCGUGUAGGAGGGACGACUGCGCCGAGCUACCAACCUGAGUUACAGUACUCUGCACCCCAUAGUCUUGGACCCAAAACACCCUAUUACCCGCCUCCUUAUAAAGCAGUAUGA